GACUCUCGGCAACGGAUAUCUCGGCUCUCGCAUCGAUGAAGAACGUAGCGAAAUGCGAUACUUGGUGUGAAUUGCAGGAUCCCGUGAACCAUCGAGUCUUUGAACGCAAGUUGCGCCCGAAGCCUUCUGGCCGAGGGCACGUCUGCCUGGGUGUCACGCA
Molecule: ribosomal RNA, 160 nt
Filed under: Kayea kunstleri
Lineage: Eukaryota; Viridiplantae; Streptophyta; Magnoliopsida; Malpighiales; Calophyllaceae
Description: 5.8S ribosomal RNA
Rfam family: 5.8S ribosomal RNA
About the family: 5.8S ribosomal RNA (5.8S rRNA) is a component of the large subunit of the eukaryotic ribosome. It is transcribed by RNA polymerase I as part of the 45S precursor that also contains 18S and 28S rRNA. Functionally, it is thought that 5.8S rRNA may be involved in ribosome translocation.
Source: RNAcentral